Molecule: ribosomal RNA, 534 nt
Filed under: Trichoderma erinaceum
Lineage: Eukaryota; Fungi; Ascomycota; Sordariomycetes; Hypocreales; Hypocreaceae
Description: eukaryotic LSU rRNA
Rfam family: 5.8S ribosomal RNA (bases 163-316)
Source: RNAcentral
AUGUGAACCAUACCAAACUGUUGCCUCGGCGGGGUCACGCCCCGGGUGCGUCGCAGCCCCGGAACCAGGCGCCCGCCGGAGGGACCAACCAAACUCUUUACUGUAGUCCCCUCGCGGACGUUAUUUCUUACAGCUCUGAGCAAAAAAUUCAAAAUGAAUCAAAACUUUCAACAACGGAUCUCUUGGUUCUGGCAUCGAUGAAGAACGCAGCGAAAUGCGAUAAGUAAUGUGAAUUGCAGAAUUCAGUGAAUCAUCGAAUCUUUGAACGCACAUUGCGCCCGCCAGUAUUCUGGCGGGCAUGCCUGUCCGAGCGUCAUUUCAACCCUCGAACCCCUCCGGGGGGUCGGCGUUGGGGAUCGGGAACCCCUCAGACGGGAUCCCGGCCCCGAAAUACAGUGGCGGUCUCGCCGCAGCCUCUCCUGCGCAGUAGUUUGCACAACUCGCACCGGGAGCGCGGCGCGUCCACGUCCGUAAAACACCCAACUUUCUGAAAUGUUGACCUCGGAUCAGGUAGGAAUACCCGCUGAACUUAAG